RNAcentral lists this ribosomal RNA (306 nucleotides) under Bacillus subtilis. Its description in RNAcentral is "bacterial SSU rRNA". It matches the Rfam family "Bacterial small subunit ribosomal RNA", at positions 1217 to 1520 of the family's 1533-position model. Lineage: Bacteria; Bacillati; Bacillota; Bacilli; Caryophanales; Bacillaceae. The record is from RNAcentral.
CACACGUGCUACAAUGGACAGAACAAAGGGCAGCGAAACCGCGAGGUUAAGCCAAUCCCACAAAUCUGUUCUCAGUUCGGAUCGCAGUCUGCAACUCGACUGCGUGAAGCUGGAAUCGCUAGUAAUCGCGGAUCAGCAUGCCGCGGUGAAUACGUUCCCGGGCCUUGUACACACCGCCCGUCACACCACGAGAGUUUGUAACACCCGAAGUCGGUGAGGUAACCUUUUAGGAGCCAGCCGCCGAAGGUGGGACAGAUGAUUGGGGUGAAGUCGUAACAAGGUAGCCGUAUCGGAAGGUGCGGUUGA